Molecule: ribosomal RNA, 301 nt
Filed under: uncultured bacterium
Lineage: Bacteria
Description: partial 16S ribosomal RNA
Rfam family: Bacterial small subunit ribosomal RNA
Source: RNAcentral
CAGUCGCCGCGGGAAUACGAAGGGUGCAAGCGUUACUCGGAAUUACUGGGCGUAAAGCGUGCGUAGGUGGUGGUUUAAGUCCGUUGUGAAAGCCCUGGGCUCAACCUGGGAAUUGCAGUGGAUACUGGGUCACUAGAGUGUGGUAGAGGAUAGUGGAAUUUCCGGUGUAGCAGUGAAAUGCGUGGAGAUCGGAAGGAACAUCUGUGGCGAAGGCGGCCAUCUGGGACAACACUGACGCUGAGGCACGAAAGCGUGGGGAGCAAACAGGAUUAGAGACCCGUGUAGUCCCUGUCUCUUAUAC